Molecule: ribosomal RNA, 484 nt
Filed under: uncultured bacterium
Lineage: Bacteria
Description: partial 16S ribosomal RNA
Rfam family: Bacterial small subunit ribosomal RNA
Source: RNAcentral
AUUGAACGCUGGCGGCAGGCCUAACACAUGCAAGUCGAGCGGAUGAAGGGAGCUUGCUCCUGGAUUCAGCGGCGGACGGGUGAGUAAUGCCUAGGAAUCUGCCUGGUAGUGGGGGAUAACGUCCGGAGACGGGCGCUAAUACCGCAUACGUCCUGAGGGAGAAAGUGGGGGAUCUUCGGACCUCACGCUAUCAGAUGAGCCUAGGUCGGAUUAGCUAGUUGGUGGGGUAAAGGCCUACCAAGGCGACGAUCCGUAACUGGUCUGAGAGGAUGAUCAGCUACACUGGAACUGAGACACGGUCCAGGCUCCUACGGGAGGCAGCAGUGGGGAAUAUUGGACAAUGGGCGAAAGCCUGAUACAGCCAUGCCGCGUGUGUGAAGAAGGUCUUCGGAUUGUAAAGCCCUUUAAGUUGGGAGGAAGGGCAGUAAGUUAAUACCUUGCUGUUUUGACGUUACCAACAGAAUAAGCACCGGCUAACUUCGUG